UACGGAGGAUGCAAGCGUUAUCCGGAUUCAUUGGGUUUAAAGGGUGCGUAGACGGACUAUUAAGUCAGUGGUGAAAGCCUGCAGCUUAACUGCAGAACUGCCAUUGAUACUGAUAGUCUUGAGUUUGGUUAAGGUAGGCGGAAUGUGUAAUGUAGCGGUGAAAUGCUUAGAUAUUACACAGAACACCAAUUGCGUAGGCAGCUUACUGAGCCGACACUGACGCUGAGGCACGAAAGCGUGGGGAUCGAACA
RNAcentral lists this ribosomal RNA (251 nucleotides) under uncultured prokaryote. Its description in RNAcentral is "partial 16S ribosomal RNA". It matches the Rfam family "Bacterial small subunit ribosomal RNA", at positions 524 to 774 of the family's 1533-position model. The record is from RNAcentral.